RNAcentral lists this ribosomal RNA (561 nucleotides) under uncultured eukaryote. RNAcentral describes it as "bacterial SSU rRNA". It matches the Rfam family "Eukaryotic small subunit ribosomal RNA", at positions 296 to 879 of the family's 1831-position model. The record is from RNAcentral.
AAAUGAAUUUUCUGCCCCUAUCAACUUUCGAUGGUAAUGUAGUGGAAUUACCAUGGUGAUGACGGGUAACGGGGGAAUUAAGGGGUUUGAUUCCGGAGAAAAGGCCUGAGAGACGGCCAUUACUUCUAAGGAAGGCAGCAGGCGCGUAAAUUACCCAAUCCUAAUACGGGGAGGUAGUGACAAGAAAUAUUAGAUAUUGGACCCAAAGGGUACAAUGAUUGAAAUGAGAACAAUAUAAAAAACUUAACGACUAACAAUUGGAGGGCAAGUCUGGUGCCAGCAGCCGCGGUAAUUCCAGCUCCAAGAGUGUAUAUUAAAAGUUGUUGCGGUUAAAAAGCUCGUAGUUGAAUUUCUGAAAAUAAUCUUGUGAUUGAUUUAACCGUCAUGAACAAAAAUUGUUUACAUACUUGAUAGAUGGAAACAUUUAUCUUAAUGACUUUGAAAAAAUUAGAGUGUUCAAAGCAUGAUUCACAUUUGAAUAAUACAGCAUGGGAUAAUAUAAUAUGACAUUAGUUAAAAAUUUGUUGGUUUCUUUUGGCUAAUGUAAUGAUUAAAAGGGAC